GCCCCGGAGCCUUUUAGGGCUCAUCUUCAAAUUUGCAUUUUGACGUAAAGUACCUCAGGGCUA
This 63-nucleotide transfer RNA is filed under the name Anolis parilis (Ecuador anole). RNAcentral describes it as "tRNA-Cys". The record is from RNAcentral. Lineage: Eukaryota; Metazoa; Chordata; Lepidosauria; Squamata; Anolidae.